Benincasa hispida (wax gourd) is the source of this 568-nucleotide non-coding RNA. NCBI's taxonomy places the organism in Eukaryota, Viridiplantae, Streptophyta, Magnoliopsida, Cucurbitales, Cucurbitaceae. The record is from RefSeq and is a predicted model, not a curated record.
CACGCCUCCUCGUCUUCAGCCCCCAACCGCGCGACUCUGUAGUCCGCCCAUCUACGUCGACAUGUCAGCCACGCCAUCCGACCCGGUCCAUCCUGCAUUUCCUCUCUGGCGUCGCUCCUCCUCAGCUCUGCCAGUCUUCGGAUUCUGGUAUUCGGGAAACCCUUGAUGGUGAAGAAAGUUUCCAAACUGAGUGAAGGUUCGUUUGGGGCAUUUCGAUACCCUUAGGCUAAGUGGAUGCAGUUUCAAUGCAGUUGUGGGAUGGGUUGUGCUGCUAUGAUUUGUUUCAAACCAUUGAUAUUGUUGUAUGGGUAGGUCAGAUUGCUCAUUUGAAGUGUUGGGAGAUCAUUUCGAGUGUGUGGUUUUCGUUGCUGUCGUGCUUGUAUUGAACCGUUAGUAUGAGAUAUCUUGAUAUGCCUGUUGGUUAGUUGAAAAUUUUGGAAGCUCAUGCAUAUGUCAUGGAAUGUUCCUAUGAUAUGUUCUAGGAGGGUUUGAUGGAUUGGUAAAUUGUGAACAUGAUUUAUGACCUUGGUUGUAUGCUUAUGUUUGUAUGAGAUUGUAGUGACUGUUA